This 435-nucleotide ribosomal RNA is filed under the name uncultured Streptococcus sp. RNAcentral's name for it is "bacterial SSU rRNA". It matches the Rfam family "Bacterial small subunit ribosomal RNA", at positions 28 to 445 of the family's 1533-position model. Lineage: Bacteria; Bacillati; Bacillota; Bacilli; Lactobacillales; Streptococcaceae. The record is from RNAcentral.
GACGAACGCUGGCGGCGUGCCUAAUACAUGCAAGUAGAACGCACAGUUUAUACCGUAGCUUGCUACACCAUAGACUGUGAGUUGCGAACGGGUGAGUAACGCGUAGGUAACCUGCCUGGUAGCGGGGGAUAACUAUUGGAAACGAUAGCUAAUACCGCAUAAUAUUAAUUAUUGCAUGAUAAUUGAUUGAAAGGUGCAAAUGCAUCACUACCAGAUGGACCUGCGUUGUAUUAGCUAGUAGGUGAGGUAACGGCUCACCUAGGCGACGAUACAUAGCCGACCUGAGAGGGUGAUCGGCCACACUGGGACUGAGACACGGCCCAGACUCCUACGGGAGGCAGCAGUAGGGAAUCUUCGGCAAUGGACGAAAGUCUGACCGAGCAACGCCGCGUGAGUGAAGAAGGUUUUCGGAUCGUAACUCUCUGUUGGAAGAGA